CUAUCACUGAUCCGAUUGCAUCCACGUGCAGUCGGUCGACAUGGGCCUUCAGCACUGAUCGCCUCGAAUUGCUCGCGAUCGUCGUGGUAAACAAAGGAGUGUGGCAGCGAUGCGUGCCAUCCAGUGUUGUCGACGAUCAACCCGUGC
Molecule: unclassified non-coding RNA, 147 nt
Filed under: uncultured Rozellomycota
Lineage: Eukaryota; Fungi; Rozellomycota
Description: uncultured Cryptomycota sequence contains ITS2
Source: RNAcentral